GCAGUCAUCAACUCCCAAGUAGUCCAAAUUUUAGCAGCCAUAACCUGGGUGUUGAUGUCACUGGAGUUUAGCCUCUUGCAAUAUGCCUCAAUAAAAUUUCCCCUUUCCUUUUCUGGAAUGAAAUCUCUAAAAGGCUCCCAUGCAUCUGGGAAGAUAGCUGCGGCACCACCCUCAUAAAACCAAUCCAACUCCUUCUUUCUUAGCAGAAAAAUGCCUCUAAGAACAAUUCCA
This 231-nucleotide unclassified non-coding RNA is filed under the name Hevea brasiliensis (rubber tree). Lineage: Eukaryota; Viridiplantae; Streptophyta; Magnoliopsida; Malpighiales; Euphorbiaceae. The record is from RNAcentral.